GAUGAACGCUGGCGGCGUGCCUAACACAUGCAAGUCGAACGGAAAGACGAAACACUUGCUUGUUUCUCGUUAGCGGCGCGGAGGGGUGAAACAUGUGUAUGAAACACCUAUAUGAAGGGGAAAAACUAGGGAAAACGUAACUUAUACCGGAUAAACUUUUGAAGCGCAUGGGGGAAAAGUGUAAGACGGUCUUCCAGUCACUUAUCGAUGGUUCCGCGCUGCAUUAGCUAGUUGGUAGGGUAACGGCUUACCAAGGCAACGAUGCCUAGGCGACCUGAGAGGGUGAUCGGCCACACUGGAACUGAGACACGGUCCAGACUCCUACGGGAGGCAGCAGUAGGGAAUCUUGCGCAAUGGGCGCAAGCCUGACGGAGCCACGCCGCGUGUGUGAUGAAGGCCUUCGGAUCGUAAAAUUCUGUUAGUGGGGAAGAACAUAUGUGUAAGAAACCGUGCACACAUUGACGGUACCUAAUCAAGAAGCAACGGCUAACUACGUG
RNAcentral lists this ribosomal RNA (497 nucleotides) under uncultured bacterium. Its description in RNAcentral is "partial 16S ribosomal RNA". It matches the Rfam family "Bacterial small subunit ribosomal RNA", at positions 28 to 507 of the family's 1533-position model. The record is from RNAcentral.